RNAcentral lists this ribosomal RNA (215 nucleotides) under Prymnesium parvum. RNAcentral describes it as "partial Bacterial large subunit ribosomal RNA". It matches the Rfam family "Bacterial large subunit ribosomal RNA", at positions 283 to 468 of the family's 2925-position model. Lineage: Eukaryota; Haptophyta; Prymnesiales; Prymnesiaceae. The record is from RNAcentral.
GUUGCGUUUGUGGGGUCGUGGGAUGUUGUUUGUCUGGGCUGCUGACCAGACGGGAAGUCAGAAAACAGUGUGUUAGUGGAAUCAGUUUGGGAAACUGAACCGUAGAGGGUGAUAGUCCCGUACGCGAAAACAUGCUGUCUUCCUUACAGUAUUCCCAAGUAGCAGCGAGCUCGUGGAAUUUGCUGUGAAUCUGGCGGGACCACCCGCUAAGCCUA